RNAcentral lists this small RNA (111 nucleotides) under chicken gut metagenome. RNAcentral describes it as "Ribosomal protein L10 leader". It matches the Rfam family "Ribosomal protein L10 leader". From Rfam's summary of the family: This family is a putative r-protein leader autoregulatory structure found in B. subtilis and other low-GC Gram-positive bacteria. It is located in the 5' untranslated regions of mRNAs encoding ribosomal proteins L10 and L12 (rplJ-rplL). The record is from RNAcentral.
AAAAAGCAAAUUACCGAAGACAGCAAGGGGUUUAAACCUUAAUAAUCUUGCCGAGGGACGUUUCUUAAAAGCACUUAUUUUAAGCUCGUCCUUAAUCGGAGAGCUUUUUUU